This 452-nucleotide ribosomal RNA is filed under the name uncultured eukaryote. RNAcentral describes it as "bacterial SSU rRNA". It matches the Rfam family "Eukaryotic small subunit ribosomal RNA", at positions 1210 to 1672 of the family's 1831-position model. The record is from RNAcentral.
AAAACUCACCAGGUCAGGACACGGUAAGGAUUGACGGACUGAAGGCUCUUUCUCGAUUCCGUGGAAAGUGGUGCAUGGUCCGUUUUUGGUUGGUGGAUCGAUCCGUCUGGUUAAUUCCGUUAACGAACGAGACCUCGGCACUCCGAAUAGCGCGGCGGACGUCGCGGCCUCCGGGCCGUCUUCCGCACGAGCUUCUUAGAGGGACCGUCCCCCGCCGGGGAAGGAGGUGCGAGGCAACGACAGGUCUGUGAUGCCCUUAGAUGUUCUGGGCCGCACGCGCAUUACACUGACGCGUCCAACGGGUGACUCCCGACCCGAAGGGGCCGGGGAAUCCGCAAGGCGCGUCGUGAUGGGGAUUGAACGUUGCAAUUGUUGUUCACGAACGAGGAAUUCCUAGUAGGCGCGGGUCAUCAACCCGCGCCGAUUACGUCCCUGCCCUUUGUACACACCGC